AUGUGAUCUCUUGCUUUGGCAUUAAAGGAAGCUAGUUUAAUUACGAAAACUAGUUUCCUCUAACGUUUCAAACAAUACAUCAUGUGU
RNAcentral lists this microRNA precursor (87 nucleotides) under Drosophila simulans. RNAcentral's name for it is "dsi-miR-303". The stretch from base 9 to 77 matches the Rfam family "mir-303 microRNA precursor family". The record is from RNAcentral. Lineage: Eukaryota; Metazoa; Arthropoda; Insecta; Diptera; Drosophilidae.